This 363-nucleotide ribosomal RNA is filed under the name Triticum aestivum (bread wheat). Its description in RNAcentral is "partial small subunit ribosomal RNA". Lineage: Eukaryota; Viridiplantae; Streptophyta; Magnoliopsida; Poales; Poaceae. The record is from RNAcentral.
AUGGGUCCGGGCGCGACUGGCUCUGGCCGGGGGAAUCAUCGGGGCCUCCUGCUUCGGCUCCCCGACGGCCGACCUCCCCGAUCCAUCCAUGAUGAAAAAGGAAAACAAUUGGAGAUAAAGGAAAACAAUUGGAGGUACAGAGAUCAAGAUGGCCGCAAACUCACUCUUGAUAACUUUUAUGGUUUGCUAUUAUGGUCAUGCUGCUCAUUAAGAUGGUUUGCUAUCAUAGCUGGGUUGCUUAUUUGUCAGUCUUGUUUCAGUGUUUCUUUAUUAUUAUUGUUCGUUUCCUCUUCAUUCCUUCAGUUUUAUGUUCCUUUAUUUAGUAAUUUUUCUUGCAUCAUUUUUCAGUAUUUUAGUCAAUAA